Molecule: ribosomal RNA, 498 nt
Filed under: uncultured bacterium
Lineage: Bacteria
Description: bacterial SSU rRNA
Rfam family: Bacterial small subunit ribosomal RNA
Source: RNAcentral
AGAGUUUGAUCAUGGCUCAGGAUGAACGCUAGCGGGAGGCCUAACACAUGCAAGCCGAGCGGUUAUUGUUUUUCGGAAAUGAGAGAGCGGCGUACGGGUGCGGAACACGUGUGCAACCUGCCUUUAUCUGGGGGAUAGCCUUUCGAAAGGAAGAUUAAUACUCCAUAAUAUAUUGAACGGCAUCGUUUAAUAUUGAAAGCUCCGGCGGAUAGAGAUGGGCACGCGCAAGAUUAGCUAGUUGGUGAGGUAACGGCUCACCAAGGCGAUGAUCUUUAGGGGCCUGAGAGGGUGAUCCCCCACACUGGUACUGAGACACGGACCAGACUCCUACGGGAGGCAGCAGUGAGGAAUAUUGGUCAAUGGGUGCAAGCCUGAACCAGCCAUCCCGCGUGAAGGACGACUGCCCUAUGGGUUGUAAACUUCUUUUGUAUAGGGAUAAACCUACCCUCGUGAGGGUAGCUGAAGGUACUAUACGAAUAAGCACCGGCUAACUCCGUG